ACUUAGGUAAUUUAAAAAAAAUGCUGGUCUGUGGAUCCAGAUAUGCGUAAUUCGCCCUUAGUA
Molecule: transfer RNA, 63 nt
Filed under: Typhlopatsa pauliani
Lineage: Eukaryota; Metazoa; Arthropoda; Malacostraca; Decapoda; Atyidae
Description: tRNA-His
Source: RNAcentral